GACGAACGCUGGCGGCGUGCUUAACACAUGCAAGUCGAACGGAAAGGCCCUGCUUGCAGGGUACUCGAGUGGCGAACGGGUGAGUAACACGUGGGUGAUCUGCCCUGCACUUCGGGAUAAGCCUGGGAAACUGGGUCUAAUACCGGAUAGGAGCCAUUUUUAGUGUGAUGGUUGGAAAGUUUUUUCGGUGUAGGAUGAGCUCGCGGCCUAUCAGCUUGUUGGUGGGGUAAUGGGCUACCAAGGCGGCGACGGGUAGCCGGCCUGAGAGGGUGGACGGCCACAUUGGGACUGGGAUACGGCCCAGACUCCUACGGGAGGCAGCAGUGGGGAGUAUUGCACAAUGGGCGCAAGCCUGAUGCAGCGACGCCGCGUGGGGGAUGACGGCCUUCGGGUUGUAAACUCCUUUCGCUAGGGACGAAGCUUUUUGUGACGGUACCUAGAUAAGAAGCACCGGCUAACUACGUG
This 465-nucleotide ribosomal RNA is filed under the name uncultured bacterium. RNAcentral describes it as "partial 16S ribosomal RNA". It matches the Rfam family "Bacterial small subunit ribosomal RNA", at positions 28 to 507 of the family's 1533-position model. The record is from RNAcentral.